CGCGUAGGCGGCGGGUCAAGUCGGCUUGUGAAAGCCCGGGGCUCAACCUCGGAGGUGCAGCCGAGACUGAUCUGCUCGAGGCCGGAAGAGGAGGGUGGAAUACCCAGUGUAGAGGUGAAAUUCGUAGAUAUUGGGUGGAACACCGGUGGCGAAAGCGGCUCUCUGGUCCGGACCUGACGCUGAGGCGCGAAAGCGUGGGGAGCAAACA
This 208-nucleotide ribosomal RNA is filed under the name uncultured bacterium. RNAcentral's name for it is "partial 16S ribosomal RNA". It matches the Rfam family "Bacterial small subunit ribosomal RNA", at positions 568 to 774 of the family's 1533-position model. The record is from RNAcentral.